RNAcentral lists this ribosomal RNA (491 nucleotides) under uncultured bacterium. RNAcentral's name for it is "bacterial SSU rRNA". It matches the Rfam family "Bacterial small subunit ribosomal RNA", at positions 29 to 523 of the family's 1533-position model. The record is from RNAcentral.
AUUGAACGCUGGCGGCAGGCCUAACACAUGCAAGUCGAACGGUAGCACAGGAGAGCUUGCUCUUCGGGUGACGAGUGGCGGACGGGUGAGUAAUGCAUGGGGAGCUGCCCAAUCGAGGGGGAUACCAGCUGGAAACGGCUGCUAAUACCGCAUACGCCCUGAGGGGGAAAGGUGGGGACCUUCGGGCCUACCGCGAUUGGAUGCACCCAUGUGGGAUUAGCUAGUUGGUGAGGUAACGGCUCACCAAGGCGACGAUCUCUAGCUGGUCUGAGAGGAUGACCAGCCACACUGGAACUGAGACACGGUCCAGACUCCUACGGGAGGCAGCAGUGGGGAAUAUUGGACAAUGGGCGAAAGCCUGAUCCAGCCACGCCGCGUGAGUGAUGAAGGCCUUCGGGUGUAAAGGCUCUGUCGUAGGGGACGAAAGGGGAACCUUUAGACGGUACCUUACAAGGAAGCACCGGCUAACUCCGUGCCAGCAGCCGCGGUAA